This 77-nucleotide transfer RNA is filed under the name Candidatus Pelagibacteraceae bacterium. Its description in RNAcentral is "tRNA-Ile". It matches the Rfam family "tRNA". From Rfam's summary of the family: Transfer RNA (tRNA) molecules are approximately 80 nucleotides in length. Lineage: Bacteria; Pseudomonadati; Pseudomonadota; Alphaproteobacteria; Candidatus Pelagibacterales; Candidatus Pelagibacteraceae. The record is from RNAcentral.
GGGCUUGUAGCUCAGUUGGUUAGAGCGCACCCCUGAUAAGGGUGAGGUCGGAAGUUCGAGUCUUCCCAGGCCCACCA